UAUUGUAGUUGAGUUCGGACUAAGAGGUGAUAUAAAGGCAUACGUUGCAUUCACCUGGUUUAACUUACCUGGAAGAUCGAAGAUCGAACACGACAAGAAGAAAGCUCCCCGAGCCUUACUGGCUAAAACCAUCACACGACACCACACCACUCUCUAACGUCAUGGUUGGUUGGGUCGGUGUUGGUAAUGACAACUGUCGUUGUAUUGGCUAACUAAGACAGGGAGAAUAUGACUCUUCGAUGACACAUAACAUCAUUAAUUGGCAGCAGUCAAUUACAUCAGUACCGUCGAUUUUUUUGCAAUCUCAAGAAAAAAUGGCGAUCACUUGAUCGAAUUCAUAUUCGAAAUAUCGGUAAACACAAUGGAAAGAAUUACUCGUAUUGAAUCAGAAUUUUUACCACCCACUGGAUACAAUAACACGGAUCAUCGACUUACUUAUGAAAAACUAAUACUUGGUAUAAAUCAAAUUGACGAUUGGAAAUUAAUCGUCAAACGUUUAUCCAGAUUAUGAUCAACAAUAUGAUCUUAAUUGCAUUAAUGUUUGAAAUCAAGUUACGGUGUCUUCGUACAAAAUCUGGAAAUAACAUGGAAAGUAUUACGUUUUACGAGUAUCAACGGAAAAUGAUGAAUGUAAAAUUAUCCAGGAUUUUUAUCGCGAUCAAGACAUCUUCCAGGGAGGUUCCUCGUCGAGUACCGGUCAACGAAUCGAAUCCUAUUUGCUUUUAGAAAUUUCUAAAACAUAUGUUAGAUCAUAUCAUUUUGAAUAUUGAUGCAAUAAUGUAAUUAGUAUUGAUUUAAUUGAUUUUUAAAUUGUUCCGUAUAUGUGAAACAAAACAAAAAAAAAUUGAUUCGUUGACUGGUCACUCGGUUUCAUCAAGAAAUCUAAAAUCGGCACAUCUUCCUUUUCCUUGCUUUACUAUUAUUGUUUUGAACUCUGACUGUUCCCCCCUCCCCAAAAAAAAUUGUUCUAUCAUUCUAUCCAGGUGAAUCGUUUUUAUCCGCUCGGAACAGUUGAACCUUCUCGACAAACCUAACGUUCUGUGAUAGCCCUUUUCUCGCUUGUCUAUCGAUUAUCAAGUAUUUCGUAAUUUAAUCGAUUCUUUUCUCUUUUAUCGCGAUCAAAUAUAGAAUCGAUGAAAUUACUUGAUCCUUGAUAAAAACGAUCAUCCACUAUGAUUUAUAAACAAUCUUUGCUAAAUAAUUCUCAACUCUUUUACUAUACUUCAGCUACGUCUAUCUAUUUCUUCUUUUUUGUUUAUUUGUCUAUCACCUUAUCUUUUUUCUUUUUCUUGAUCGCCUUGCAAACACGAUUUGUAAAUCUUUAUGAAAUUAUUCUCAGCUCUCUUGCUAUACUUAAGCUACGCCUAUCUUUAUUUUGAUUUUUCUAUCCUUUCAUUUCUUUCUUAUUCUCGCUAAAUUCUUUCUUUUUUACGCUAAAUUUUUUCAAAUUUCUGUUUCACGUGCAGCAUCUUAACUUUUUCUUAAUUUCUUUUCUUCUAAGCUGUAUGUACCUAUUUACUUACUUACUUACUUACUUACUUACUUACUUACUUACUUAUCUUAUUUUAUUUUCUAUAAGGAUCUCUACUUUUAUUUCUUUUACUUUAUCUUUCGUUGCCAUCAACAUAUCAGUAUUAUCAGAUUCAAGAUUUCUUGAUUAAUCUUGUCAAUGUAAAUUUUCAUUUCGAUAUUAUUUUCUACUAUUUUCUAUUUACAUUAUCUUUCCCAAUUUCUUCCUCCUCUUCUUUCUUAGCUUUAUUUUCUAUUUUUUUGUGUGUGUAAAAUUUCCUUUUAAGAUCUCUAAAAUGCGUUUCUUCUUUAUAUCUAUGUAUUAAUUUUUUCAUUGUAUUAUAUGAACUUUUAUUUCUUUACUACUGUACCUGAACACUAUCGCUUCGAAUAUAUUAGGUAAUUAAAUAUAAAACGUCUGAUUA
Molecule: long non-coding RNA, 1934 nt
Filed under: Polistes fuscatus (common paper wasp)
Lineage: Eukaryota; Metazoa; Arthropoda; Insecta; Hymenoptera; Vespidae
Description: uncharacterized LOC122516972
Source: RNAcentral